UAACGGCGAGUGAACCGGGAAGAGCUCAAAUUUGAAAUCUGGCGUGCUCAGUGCGUCCGAGUUGUAAUCUAUAGAGGCGUUUUCCGUGCCGGACUGUGUCCAAGUCCCUUGGAACAGGGUAUCAAAGAGGGUGAUAAUCCCGUACUUGACACAAUGACCGGUGCUCUGUGAUACGUCUUCUACGAGUCGAGUUGUUUGGGAAUGCAGCUCAAAAUGGGUGGUGAGUUCCAUCUAAAGCUAAAUAUUGGCGAGAGACCGAUAGCGAACAAGUACCGUGAGGGAAAGAUGAAAAGCACUUUGGAAAGAGAGUUAAACAGUACGUGAAAUUGUUGAAAGGGAAACGAUUGAAGUCAGUCGUGACUGAGAGGCUCAGCCGGUUCUGCCGGUGUAUUCCCCUCAGUCGGGUCAACAUCAGUUUUGUUCGGUGGAUAAGGGCAGCUGGAAGGUGGCACCCUCGGGUGUGUUAUAGCCAGCUGUCGCAUACAUCGAAUGAGACUGAGGAAUGCAGCUCGCCUUUAUGGCCGGGGUUCGCCCACGUCCGAGCUUAGGAUGUUGACAUAAUGGCUUUAA
RNAcentral lists this ribosomal RNA (570 nucleotides) under Papiliotrema flavescens. Its description in RNAcentral is "eukaryotic LSU rRNA". It matches the Rfam family "Eukaryotic large subunit ribosomal RNA", at positions 84 to 643 of the family's 3401-position model. The record is from RNAcentral. Lineage: Eukaryota; Fungi; Basidiomycota; Tremellomycetes; Tremellales; Rhynchogastremaceae.